This 343-nucleotide RNase P RNA is filed under the name Altibacter sp. RNAcentral's name for it is "RNase P RNA component class A". It matches the Rfam family "Bacterial RNase P class A". Rfam says of the family: Ribonuclease P (RNase P) is a ubiquitous endoribonuclease, found in archaea, bacteria and eukarya as well as chloroplasts and mitochondria. Lineage: Bacteria; Pseudomonadati; Bacteroidota; Flavobacteriia; Flavobacteriales; Flavobacteriaceae. The record is from RNAcentral.
ACAGCAGACCGCCUUAUCGCUCCAUACCGUUGUAUGGGGAGGAAAGUCCUGAUACCAUAGGGAAGCAUAGCGGCUAACGGCCGUCCUUACGCUUUGGCGUAAGAGGACAAGUGCAACAGAAAGGAUGUACAGGUAAUGCUGUAGUGAAAUCGGGUAAACUCUAUGUGGUGAAAUGCCACGUAAACCUGCGCCCCGAUUCCGAUAGCUAUCGGGACGGGAAAGGGAUCCCACCCAAUGCAGGAGGGUAGGCAGCUAGAACGUGCUGGCAACAGUACGUCCAGAUAAAUGAUAAGGGUUGCGCUACGGCGUGAUACAGAAUCCGGCUUACAGGUCUGCUUUUUUA